CUAGCCGUAAACGAUGGAUACUAGGCGUUGUGAGUAUCGACCCUCACAGUGUCGUAGCUAACGCGGUAAGUAUCCCGCCUGGGGAGUACGCGCGCAAGCGUGAAACUCAAAGGAGUUGACAGGGGCCCGCACAAGCGGUGGAGUAUGUGGUUUAAUUCGAUGCAACGCGAAGAACCUUACCGGGACUUGACAUGUCGCGAAUCUCAGGGAAACUUGAGAGUGCCUUCGGGAGCGCGAACACAGGUGGUGC
Molecule: ribosomal RNA, 250 nt
Filed under: uncultured Chroococcidiopsis sp.
Lineage: Bacteria; Bacillati; Cyanobacteriota; Cyanophyceae; Chroococcidiopsidales; Chroococcidiopsidaceae
Description: partial 16S ribosomal RNA
Rfam family: Bacterial small subunit ribosomal RNA
Source: RNAcentral